GAGCGGCGAACGGGUGAGUAACACGUGAGUAACCUGCCCCUGACUCUGGGAUAAGCCUGGGAAACCGGGUCUAAUACCGGAUGUGACCUCCUCCGGCAUCGGAUGGUGGUGGAAAGUUUUUCGGUCAGGGAUGGGCUCGCGGCCUAUCAGCUUGUUGGUGGGGUAGUGGCCUACCAAGGCGACGACGGGUAGCCGGCCUGAGAGGGCGACCGGCCACACUGGGACUGAGACACGGCCCAGACUCCUACGGGAGGCAGCAGUGGGGAAUAUUGCGCAAUGGGCGGAAGCCUGACGCAGCGACGCCGCGUGGGGGAUGACGGCCUUCGGGUUGUAAACCUCUUUCAGCAGGGACGAAGUUGACGUGUACCUGCAGAAGAAGCGCCGGCUAACUACGUGCCAGCAGCCGCGGUAAUACGUAGGGCGCAAGCGUUGUCCGGAAUUAUUGGGCGUAAAGAGCUCGUAGGUGGCUGGUCGCGUCUGCCGUGAAAGCCCGCAGCUUAACUGCGGGUCUGCGGUGGAUACGGGCCGGCUAGAGNUAGGUAGGGGCAAGUGGNAAUUCCU
RNAcentral lists this ribosomal RNA (561 nucleotides) under Nonomuraea sp. 424E01. RNAcentral describes it as "bacterial SSU rRNA". It matches the Rfam family "Bacterial small subunit ribosomal RNA", at positions 93 to 672 of the family's 1533-position model. Lineage: Bacteria; Bacillati; Actinomycetota; Actinomycetes; Streptosporangiales; Streptosporangiaceae. The record is from RNAcentral.